Molecule: non-coding RNA, 920 nt
Organism: Paramuricea clavata
Lineage: Eukaryota; Metazoa; Cnidaria; Anthozoa; Malacalcyonacea; Plexauridae
Source: the annotation of a GenBank genome assembly
AAUUUUCUGUAAAAAUAAUGAAGCAAUCCCCAGAAAAGGGGAAAGACUAAUGCUGAAAUCCCAACAUUUGCUCUUUCAUGGAACAAAUUGAACGGAAAACAGCAAAUGUAAGGCAUUUUCCCAACCUUAGCUUUGCCUUUGUCAAUUUGCCAGGGAUUUUUCAUCUUUUUUUAUUAAUUUCUACACGAAACAAAAGUUUAAUAAUAGAGAUCAAAAACUUUUUAUUUUGAGCAGAAAGGUGGCUAGAAACUUUAGAAAUCCUUCUACAAAGUUUGCAUUAUUUUUAACCUAAUUUCUGUAAUUUGGACGGGUUGCAAAAUUGGUGUCGCCACCUUAAGUAUCUCUAGAAGCCGAACGGUUAAGUAUUUUGGUGAGAUAAAUACUACGAUUAAUAUAAUAUGAUCGUUUUUCAACCCACUGCAAAAAAAUUGAACCUUUGAUUAAUUAUAGCGAAGUAAUACCACCAAAUAUGACAGGGGACAUUUUUUUGGGACACCCUGUAUAUACCUGGGGCCAUUUGCUGUUACGCCAUGCAAGGUGAAACGUUGAAUUUUUUUUUAACUUUAAGGCUGAUAAAUGAUAGGGAUAUGGUUUCCGUAACAAUAAUAACAAACCAAAACAACGAUAUGCUCUAAAAACACUGUGCUUAAAAUUUUCCAGGUUAACUUAGAAAUAUACCUAUUUGGGUUAAAUCAACAAGGACGUUCUCCCAAUUGGUACCUGACCAAGGCCUUAUGUGACAUAACAACAUGUAAUAAAUUUUGUAACACGCAAUUAAAUUGUCGUCAAAUGACUGGCUGAUUAUGAUCACGUGAUAUCAAAAAGUACCAUUUUCAUGAUCAAUGGAACGUUCCAUCCAGUUAGCUGAAACCUGAAAUCAAAACUGAAACCAAGACCCUGGGUCCAGCCGUGCAUUUUUG